RNAcentral lists this ribosomal RNA (253 nucleotides) under uncultured bacterium. RNAcentral describes it as "partial 16S ribosomal RNA". It matches the Rfam family "Bacterial small subunit ribosomal RNA", at positions 524 to 776 of the family's 1533-position model. The record is from RNAcentral.
UACGUAGGGUGCAAGCGUUGUCCGGAAUUAUUGGGCGUAAAGAGCUCGUAGGCGGUCUGUCGCGUCGGAUGUGAAAAUCCAGGGCUCAACCCUGGACCUGCAUUCGAUACGGGCAGACUAGAGUUCGGCAGGGGAGACUGGAAUUCCUGGUGUAGCGGUGAAAUGCGCAGAUAUCAGGAGGAACACCGGUGGCGAAGGCGGGUCUCUGGGCCGAUACUGACGCUGAGGAGCGAAAGCGUGGGGAGCAAAAGGG